RNAcentral lists this unclassified non-coding RNA (386 nucleotides) under uncultured Gammaproteobacteria bacterium. RNAcentral's name for it is "contains 16S-23S intergenic spacer region". The record is from RNAcentral. Lineage: Bacteria; Pseudomonadati; Pseudomonadota; Gammaproteobacteria.
UCCUCGUUUAAGCGAGGCAGUCUGUCCAGAAUGCUCCGAGCUCUCGCUCAAGUGGCAACAAAACACAAGGGUUGCGCUCGUUGCGGAACUUAACCCAACAUCUCACGACACAAGCUGACGACAGCCAUGCAGCACCUGUGUUACGGCUCCCUUUCGGGCACCCCUGCAUCUCUGCAGGGUUCCGUACAUGUCAAGGGUAGGUAAGGUUUUUCGCGUUGCGUCGAAUUGAACCACAUCAUCCACCGCUUGUGCGGGCCCCCGUCAAUUCCUUUGAGUUUUAAUCUUGCGACCGUACUCCCCAGGCGGAUGACUUCUCGCGUUAGCUGCGUUACUAAAGGAUUUAACUCCUCCAACAACUAGUCAUCAUCGUUUAGGGCGUGGACUAC